GACGAACGCUGGCGGCGUGCUUAACACAUGCAAGUCGAACGGAAAGGCCCGGCUUUUGUGGGGUUCUCGAUUGGCGAACGGGUGAGUAACACGUGAGUAACCUGCCCUUAACUUUGGGAUAACUUCAGGGAACUGGGGCUAAUACCGGGUAUAAUCUCCUGCUGCGUGGGGUGGGUUGGAAAGUUUCGGCGGUUGUGGAUGGACCCGCUGCUUAUCAGCUUGUUGGUGUGGUAGUGGCUUACCAAGGCUUUGACGGGUAGCCGGCCUGAGAGGGUGACCGGCCACAUGGGGACUGAGAUACGGACCAGACUCCUACGGGAGGCAGUAGUGGGGAAUAUUGCACAGUGGGCGGAAGCCUGAUGCAGCAACGCCGCGUGCGGGAUGACGGCCUUCGGGUUGUAAACCGCUUUCGCAUGUGACGAAGAGUGAGUGACGGUAAUGGGUAAAGAAGCAACGGCUAACUACGUG
Molecule: ribosomal RNA, 468 nt
Filed under: uncultured bacterium
Lineage: Bacteria
Description: partial 16S ribosomal RNA
Rfam family: Bacterial small subunit ribosomal RNA
Source: RNAcentral